GCAGAAAAACGCUGUAGAGAGGGCAGACUGUCAGCAUAUGUAGAUCAUAAAUGCACAUUGAGUCAUCCCUAAUUUGGCAAGAUAUCUAUUGGAGGGAAAAUUAAUCUGAUAUUGCAUGCAGCAUUAACCAGUGGAGGGCAAGAAAAAGGAAAGGAAAUGGAGACAGCUACAGGCUGCGAAGACCUAAGAAGGUACACUGAGCCAGUGGAGAGGAGGAUGAUUCAC
This 225-nucleotide long non-coding RNA is filed under the name Athene cunicularia (burrowing owl). RNAcentral's name for it is "lncRNA (ENSACUG00000005286.1)". The record is from RNAcentral. Lineage: Eukaryota; Metazoa; Chordata; Aves; Strigiformes; Strigidae.